GUACGCUGGCGGCACGCCUAACACAUGCAAGUCGAACGAAGUAGCAAUACUUAGUGGCAGACGGGUGAGUAACAUGUGGGUAUCUGCCCUUUGGCCUGGAAUAACACGAGGAAACUUGUGCUAAUACCGGAUAAGUCUUUACGGAGAAAGCUUUAUGCACCAUUGGAUGAGCCCGCACUUGAUUAGUUUGUUGGUGGGGUAAUGGCCUACCAAGACUGUGAUCAAUAGCUGAUUUGAGAGAAUGAUCAGCCACAUUAGGACUGAGACACGGCCCAAACUCCUACGGGAGGCAGCAGUGGGGAAUCUUGCACAAUGGAGGAAACUCUGAUGCAGCGAUGCCGCGUGAGUGAAGAAGGCCCUUGGGUUGUAAAGCUCUUUCGUCGGGGAAGAAAAUGACUGUACCCGAAUAAGAAGGUCCGGCUAACUUCGUGCCAGCAGCCGCGGUAAUACGAAGGGACCUAGCGUAGUUCGGAAUUACUGGGCUUAAAGAGUUCGUAG
RNAcentral lists this ribosomal RNA (498 nucleotides) under uncultured Pseudomonadota bacterium. RNAcentral describes it as "bacterial SSU rRNA". It matches the Rfam family "Bacterial small subunit ribosomal RNA", at positions 31 to 574 of the family's 1533-position model. Lineage: Bacteria; Pseudomonadati; Pseudomonadota. The record is from RNAcentral.